This 1030-nucleotide long non-coding RNA is filed under the name Ananas comosus (pineapple). RNAcentral describes it as "long non-coding RNA (ACOM_LNC024438)". The record is from RNAcentral. Lineage: Eukaryota; Viridiplantae; Streptophyta; Magnoliopsida; Poales; Bromeliaceae.
UUUGCUCCUCUCUCCUCCCCACAUGUUAAUAACUAAUUAUAAUUAAUUUUUAUUACAAUAAUAAUUGAAAAUUAAUAUUUAAUAAUAAUUAAAAAUAAUAUUAUUAAAUAAUAAUAAUAAUAAUAAUAAUAAUAUUCUAUUAUUGUUUCCUUUCUUUCUAGUAUUAUAGCUAUUGUAUUUGUGAUAUCUAUUUAUGACUUUGUUGAUCUCUUUUUGCUGGUGAGUACUUCUCGCUUUCGUCGGCUUGCGGUACCCACUGGGAGGGGGAGACAUGUUUACAUGUUCUCACCCCCCACCAUUUUUCAGGUAUUACGGGCGAUGAGGGUUGAAACGAGACGUGAGACACGUUCGUAGCGGUAAAUAGAGUUUCCGGCCCGGUGACAUUCGGUCUAGUUUCUAUCCUUGCUUAUUCAAAAUAACUAACUUAAACUUUAUAGUUCAGUUGGCUUUCAUUUACUUGAAUAAAUGUGGUUUUGGUGAAUAAAUUAAAGAACUUAGGGUUUUCUUUGAGAUGAAAACGAUUUUCUACCCCUCGUGGUAGCGUGUUUUAAAGAAAAAGUGUUUCCGUGUGGGAAACGGUUUUGAAAAGAUUUUUAUUGGUUUUCAUGACUCUUAGUGCUUCAAAAUGAGUUUCCGGGUGGCAUACAUUUUAAACUGAUAGAUGUGUAUUUAUAGAUAUUUGUAAUGAAAUGAAUGUAAAUAUGAAUGGUGAAUGUAUAUGUAUGCUCAUACGGUUGUGGUUAUAUAUUGUACUUGUGCGACGCCGUGCAAAUACAGGGGAGACUCUGUCCGUGUGAACAGUGGAUUCUCUGUAUUUGUAGCGGAUCUGACAUACUCUGGGGUGAAAGUUUUCAAAAAAAAAAAUUUGAGCACUUCCGCAUUGGAUCUUAAAUCCAAAGGGACCCCGGGGCGUGACAGACUAAAGUGGUAUCAGAGCCAAAUUACAAACGGUACCAUUCAUAGGUUAUUUUGAAAAAUAAAUAAACUGAAAUAUUGGUUAGGUUGACCCAUAGGAAGACCUACGGUUUAU